This 497-nucleotide ribosomal RNA is filed under the name uncultured bacterium. Its description in RNAcentral is "partial 16S ribosomal RNA". It matches the Rfam family "Bacterial small subunit ribosomal RNA", at positions 28 to 507 of the family's 1533-position model. The record is from RNAcentral.
GAUGAACGCUGGCGGCGUGCCUAAUACAUGCAAGUCGAGCGAACAGACGAGGAGCUUGCUCCUCUGACGUUAGCGGCGGACGGGUGAGUAACACGUGGAUAACCUACCUAUAAGACUGGGAUAACUUCGGGAAACCGGAGCUAAUACCGGAUAAUAUAUUGAACCGCAUGGUUCAAUAGUGAAAGACGGUUUUGCUGUCACUUAUAGAUGGAUCCGCGCCGCAUUAGCUAGCUGGUAAGGUAACGGCUUACCAAGGCAACGAUGCGUAGCCGACCUGAGAGGGUGAUCGGCCACACUGGAACUGAGACACGGUCCAGACUCCUACGGGAGGCAGCAGUAGGGAAUCUUCCGCAAUGGGCGAAAGCUUGACGGAGCAACGCCGCGUGAGUGAUGAAGGUCUUCGGAUCGUAAAACUCUGUUAUUAGGGAAGAACAAAUGUGUAAGUAACUAUGCACGUCUUGACGGUACCUAAUCAGAAAGCCACGGCUAACUACGUG